RNAcentral lists this ribosomal RNA (253 nucleotides) under uncultured bacterium. RNAcentral describes it as "partial 16S ribosomal RNA". It matches the Rfam family "Bacterial small subunit ribosomal RNA", at positions 524 to 776 of the family's 1533-position model. The record is from RNAcentral.
UACGUAGGGUGCGAGCGUUAAUCGGAAUUACUGGGCGUAAAGCGUGCGCAGGCGGUGAUGUAAGACCGAUGUGAAAUCCCCGGGCUUAACCUGGGAACUGCAUUGGUGACUGCAUUGCUCGAGUAUGGCAGAGGGGGGUGGAAUUCCACGUGUAGCAGUGAAAUGCGUAGAGAUGCGGAGGAACACCGAUGGCGAAGGCAGCCCCCUGGGCUAGCACUGACGCUCAGGCACGAAAGCGUGGGGAGCAAACAGG